GUUUGCUGGGAUUAUCACUUCUGAAAAGCACAUUCUGGGAUGCAAAGAACAAACUAAUCCAAUGAGGUUAGGAAAUGUUCCAACACUCAAAUGUGACUUGGAGAUGGGUAACAUAACCAAGGUACCUGGAGUGUUCUUGUCAAAUGAUCUAGAUUAGAAGCUGCAUCCCUUCUGGAGAAAAGUCAGUUCUGGCAAUGAAAAAGUAUCAUUUGGUGAACACUACCUCAUGAUUCUUCAGAGUCCAA
Molecule: unclassified non-coding RNA, 245 nt
Filed under: Hevea brasiliensis (rubber tree)
Lineage: Eukaryota; Viridiplantae; Streptophyta; Magnoliopsida; Malpighiales; Euphorbiaceae
Source: RNAcentral